AGGUAGUUCGUCUAAACAAGAUAGUUGAUUUCGACUCAACAGAUUUUGGUUAAAUUCCAAAACCACCUU
This 69-nucleotide transfer RNA is filed under the name Megophrys shapingensis (Shaping frog). RNAcentral describes it as "Atympanophrys shapingensis (Shaping frog) tRNA-Arg". It matches the Rfam family "tRNA". Rfam says of the family: Transfer RNA (tRNA) molecules are approximately 80 nucleotides in length. Their secondary structure includes four short double-helical elements and three loops (D, anti-codon, and T loops). Lineage: Eukaryota; Metazoa; Chordata; Amphibia; Anura; Megophryidae. The record is from RNAcentral. RNAcentral also lists the same sequence under 1 other name.